This 253-nucleotide ribosomal RNA is filed under the name uncultured bacterium. RNAcentral's name for it is "partial 16S ribosomal RNA". It matches the Rfam family "Bacterial small subunit ribosomal RNA", at positions 524 to 776 of the family's 1533-position model. The record is from RNAcentral.
UACAGAGGUGGCAAACGUUGUUCGGAUUUACUGGGCGUAAAGGGUGCGUAGGUGGACUCGUAUGUUGGAUGUGAAAUCCCACUGCUUAACGGUGGAAUUGCAUUCAAAACUGCAAGUCUGGAGUCCAGAAGGGGAGAGCGGAAUUCUUGGUGUAGCGGUGAAAUGCGUUGAUAUCAAGAAGAACACCGGCGGCGAAGGCGGCUCUCUGGUCUGGUACUGACGCUGAGGCACGAAAGUUGGGGGAGCGAACAGG